UGUUUGGAGAGUUUGAUUCUGGCUCAGAACGAACGCUGGCGGCAUGGAUUAGGCAUGCAAGUCGAACGGGUGCAGCAAUGCAUCAGUGGCGCAAGGGUGAGGAACGCGUGGGUGACCUGCCUUCAAGUUUGGAAUAGCUCCUGGAAACGGGAAUUAAUACCGGAUGUGAUCUUGACACUGCAUGGUGAUGAGAUUAAAGCAGCAAUGCGCUUGAAGAGGGGCCCGCGUCCCAUUAGGUAGUUGGUGAGGUAAAGGCCCACCAAGCCGAAGAUGGGUAGCUGGUCUGAGA
RNAcentral lists this ribosomal RNA (289 nucleotides) under Lentisphaeria bacterium. RNAcentral describes it as "partial 16S ribosomal RNA". It matches the Rfam family "Bacterial small subunit ribosomal RNA", at positions 1 to 297 of the family's 1533-position model. Lineage: Bacteria; Pseudomonadati; Lentisphaerota; Lentisphaeria. The record is from RNAcentral.